UACGAACGCUGGCGGCGUGCUUAACACAUGCAAGUCGAGCGAGAAAGCGGCUUCGGCCGUGAGUACAGCGGCGAACGGGUGAGUAACACGUGGGCAACCUGCCCCAGAGAUUGGGAUAACGUCCCGAAAGGGACGCUAAUACCGAAUAACGCGUGACCUGCCAAGUGGGUCACGCCAAAUGGUAGCCUCGGCCUCUGCUCUGGGAUGGGCCCGCGCCGGAUUAGCUGGUUGGGGGGGUAACGGCCUACCAAGGCGACGAUCCGUAGCUGGUCUGAGAGGACGAUCAGCCACACUGGGACUGAGACACGGCCCAGACUCCUACGGGAGGCAGCAGUGGGGAAUCUUGCGCAAUGGGCGAAAGCCUGACGCAGCAACGCCGCGUGAGCGAAGACGGCCUUCGGGUUGUAAAGCUCUGUCAGGAGGGACGAAGCCACUCGGGCGAAUAGCCCAGAGGGUGACGGUACCUCCAGAGGAAGCCCCGGCUAACUACGUGCCAGCCGCCGCAGUAA
This 509-nucleotide ribosomal RNA is filed under the name uncultured bacterium. RNAcentral describes it as "partial 16S ribosomal RNA". It matches the Rfam family "Bacterial small subunit ribosomal RNA", at positions 29 to 523 of the family's 1533-position model. The record is from RNAcentral.